AGCAGCCGCCGCGGUAAUACGGAGGGGGCUAGCGUUGUUCGGAAUUACUGGGCGUAAAGCGCACGUAGGCGGCUUUGUAAGUUAGAGGCGAAAGCCCGGAGCUCAACUCCGGAAUUGCCUUUAAGACUGCAGAGCUAGCAGGUGAGAGAGGUGAGUGGAAUUCCGAGUGUAGAGGUGAAAUUCGUAGAUAUUCGGAAGAACACCAGUGGCGAAGGCGGCUCACUGACUCAUACUGGACGCUGAGGUGCGAAAGCGUGGGGAGCAAACAGGAUUAGAUACCCGCGUAGUCCCUGUCUCUUAUAC
This 303-nucleotide ribosomal RNA is filed under the name uncultured bacterium. Its description in RNAcentral is "partial 16S ribosomal RNA". It matches the Rfam family "Bacterial small subunit ribosomal RNA", at positions 507 to 807 of the family's 1533-position model. The record is from RNAcentral.